UGGGGAAUAUUGGACAAUGGGCGCAAGCCUGAUCCAGCCAUGCCGCGUGAGUGAUGAAGGCCUUAGGGUUGUAAAGCUCUUUCACCGGAGAAGAUAAUGACGGUAUCCGGAGAAGAAGCCCCGGCUAACUUCGUGCCAGCAGCCGCGGUAAUACGAAGGGGGCUAGCGUUGUUCGGAAUUACUGGGCGUAAAGCGCACGUAGGCGGAUCGAUCAGUCAGGGGUGAAAUCCCAGGGCUUAACCCUGGAACUGCCUUUGAUACUGUCGAUCUAGAGUAUGGAAGAGGUGAGUGGAAUUCCGAGUGUAGAGGUGAAAUUCGUAGAUAUUCGGAGGAACACCAGUGGCGAAGGCGGCUCACUGGUCCAUUACUGACGCUGAGGUGCGAAAGCGUGGGGAGCAAACAGG
Molecule: ribosomal RNA, 404 nt
Filed under: bacterium
Lineage: Bacteria
Also listed under: 1 other name
Description: partial 16S ribosomal RNA
Rfam family: Bacterial small subunit ribosomal RNA
Source: RNAcentral